CCUAACACAUGCAAGUCGAGCGGAGCCAUCUAGAAGAUUUCCGUUCGGGAUGACGAUUAAGAAGGAAGCGGCGGACGGUGAGUAACGCGUGAGUAACCUGCCUAUCAGAGGGGGACAACAUUCCGAAAGGGAUGCUAAUACCGCAUAACAUUAUUUAACCGCAUGGUUUUAUGAUCAAAGAUUUAUCGCUGAUAGAUGGACUCGCGUCUGAUUAGAUAGUUGGUGAGGUAACGGCUCACCAAGUCUACGAUCAGUAGCCGGACUGAGAGGUUUGAACGGCCACAUUGGAACUGAGAUACGGUCCAGACUCCUACGGGAGGCAGCAGUGGGGAAUAUUGGGCAAUGGGCGAAAGCCUGACCCAGCAACGCCGCGUGAAGGAAGAAGGUCUUCGGAUUGUAAACUUCUUUUAUAAGGGAAGAAAAAUGACUGUACCUUAUGAAUAAGCCACGGCUAACUACGUG
This 462-nucleotide ribosomal RNA is filed under the name uncultured bacterium. RNAcentral's name for it is "bacterial SSU rRNA". It matches the Rfam family "Bacterial small subunit ribosomal RNA", at positions 47 to 507 of the family's 1533-position model. The record is from RNAcentral.